GCCGGCCGGGCAAGUCCAUUGGGAAAUCGACCAGCUCAACUGGUCGGCGUCCGGUGGAAACUACACAGCUUGGGGCCGAGAGACUCGAGGGGUACGUCCGGGGUAGGAGUGAAAUCCUGUAAUCCUGGACGGACCACCAAUGGGGAAACCACGUCGAGAGACCGGACCCGACAGUGAGGGACGAAAGCCAGGGUCUCGAACCGGAUUAGAUACCCGGGUAGUCCUGGCUGUAAACGAUGCUCGCUAGGUAUGCCACGCGCCAUGAGCACGUGAUGCGCCGUAGGGAAGCCGAUAAGCGAGCCCCCUGGGAAGUACGUCCGCAAGGAUGAAACUUAAAGGAAUUGGCGGGGGAGCACCACAACCGGAGGAGCCUGCGGUUUAAUUGGACUCAACGCCGGACAUCUCACCGGUCCCGACAGUAGUAAUGACAGUCAGGUUGACGACUUUACUCGACGCUACUGAGAGGAGGUGCAUGGCCGCCGUCAGCUCGUACCGUGAGGCGUCCUGUUAAGUCAGGCAACGAGCGAGACCCACACUUCUAGUUGCCAGCAACACCCCUGCGGUGGUUGGGUACACUAGGAGGACUGCCAUUGCUAAAAUGGAGGAAGGAAUGGGCAACGGUAGGUCAGUAUGCCCCGAAUGGACCGGGCAACACGCGGGCUACAAUGGCUAUGACAGUGGGAUGCAACGCCGAGAGGCGAAGCUAAUCUCCAAACGUAGUCGUAGUUCGGAUUGCGGGCUGAAACCCGCCCGCAUGAAGCUGGAUUCGGUAGUAAUCGCGUUCAAA
RNAcentral lists this ribosomal RNA (787 nucleotides) under Haloarcula argentinensis. RNAcentral describes it as "bacterial SSU rRNA". It matches the Rfam family "Archaeal small subunit ribosomal RNA", at positions 524 to 1308 of the family's 1478-position model. The record is from RNAcentral. Lineage: Archaea; Methanobacteriati; Methanobacteriota; Halobacteria; Halobacteriales; Haloarculaceae.